UUCUUCCGAUUCUCAGCAACCUGGGUUUCUUCCUUUUACAGUUUUACUGUAUCAAAUCUACACUUGGCCUGAGUUCUGCGCUCCGACAAGGGCGCCCUGAGGUGGGUUUCAAAUGGGUAUAUGGACUCGUGUCAACUUUUUCAAGAGGAGACAAAUGAGACUAUGAAUCUUUACCUGUCUCAAUCACGUAUAACAUGCAUACAAGGAUCGUCUUGGUUGUUGUACUGUGUUCUGUAAUGUCAAGAUAUCUCCCCUCAACGACACCCUUCCUCCUUACCAAUCCACCCUGCGCUUGAUGUUCAAUUCAAACAGUUGGAGGUCUUCGCUGUCGAUUGCCUUAGGGUUGUGGUACAACAACUGAAGGAGGCAGAGAUCACUGAGCUGGACUCGCUUCUUCUGGAAAUCAACAAGCUCUUACUCAUCAAUUAUGAAGGAACUCUUAGUUGCUCUCUCUAGUGUUGCAGUGUUGGAUCUUCCUUUACAUAGUUUUUUUUGCUGUAGAAUUGAACUUUUUGUCGAAGAAACCCUAGAUUGAUAUAUUUGAUUGCUAGAUGUAACAUUUUCUGUGACUGCAAUAAGGAAAUGAGAAUAAAUGUAUGAAUUUGACUCUGAAUACUCUAUUUUAUCUGCUCUACCUGCCUCACAUUGCUAUCUGCAGUAUCAAUUAGAACAGAGGCCUUUUUCCGGAGAAGGAUUUCAACAAUGUAUCUGUUCUGGC
Molecule: long non-coding RNA, 718 nt
Organism: Rosa chinensis
Lineage: Eukaryota; Viridiplantae; Streptophyta; Magnoliopsida; Rosales; Rosaceae
Exons: 3
Source: RefSeq, a predicted model, not a curated record